UGCAUAUCCCAAUAGCGGAGGAAAAGAAACCAACAGGGAUUGCCUCAGUAACGGCGAGUGAAGCGGCAAAAGCUCAAAUUUGAAAUCCCCCCGGGGAGUUGUAAUUUGAAGAUUGCGUCUUGGAGGCGACCGUGUCUAUGUUCCUUGGAACAGGACGUCACAGAGGGUGAGAAUCCCGUGCGGCACGGCCCCCGGCUCCUUAUAAGGCGCUCUCGACGAGUCGAGUUGUUUGGGAAUGCAGCUCAAAGUGGGUGGUAAAUUCCAUCUAAAGCUAAAUACAGGCGAGAGACCGAUAGCGAACAAGUACAGUGAUGGAAAGAUGAAAAGCACUUUGAAAAGAGAGUGAAACAGCACGUGAAAUUGUUGAAAGGGAAGGGCAUGCCGUCAGAUUGUCAGUGUGGGUAAGAAGCGGGGUACAAAGACUGUGGAACGUGGCCCUCGGGUGUUAUAGCCGCAGUUCAUGCCCCGUCUCUUUCCGAGGCCUGCUUUGAGGACACCGACGUAAUGACGGUACGCCGCCCGUCUUGA
This 528-nucleotide ribosomal RNA is filed under the name Kodamaea ohmeri. RNAcentral describes it as "eukaryotic LSU rRNA". It matches the Rfam family "Eukaryotic large subunit ribosomal RNA", at positions 37 to 657 of the family's 3401-position model. The record is from RNAcentral. Lineage: Eukaryota; Fungi; Ascomycota; Pichiomycetes; Serinales; Debaryomycetaceae.